Argiope bruennichi is the source of this 933-nucleotide long non-coding RNA. RefSeq lists it as uncharacterized. The record is from RefSeq and is a predicted model, not a curated record. Lineage: Eukaryota; Metazoa; Arthropoda; Arachnida; Araneae; Araneidae. The transcript is spliced from 3 exons.
UCUUUGGAAGAAGAGAAGGAUUGAUGAGACAUUUCAAGACUCUCAAAAACCGAUAAAUAUUCUGAAGAUUUGCUACUUCUCAUUUUGUUGUUCCUUGUAUAAGGUUGAAGACUGAUUUUGUAAAUUAUAGAAAAUGUCUGUAUAUAUUCGAACUCGAAAGAUAAUGCAAUUUAUUAAUGUCUAUGGUACUACUGAAUGUUUUAAAUAUCCCGAAGUCUUCAGUACUAGCAGGUACCAUUUUUAAAACCUGUUCACUAUAGAUGCUGGACUAGAUGAUAAUGGCUCAUCAUUCCGCAAAGAUUAAGUGUGAAGUAGAAGCGACACCUUCAUCUUUAUACCCAACUCUCCUGAUGUGAUGGAUUUCAUAUAUCGAAGUUAUCGUCGCUGCCAAGUGUCGUCCUUUCGAUUUCUUUUUGAAAAUACAAUACUGGAUCCAAGCUGGUUUCGGAAAAGAUCCCCAUCUGAAUCGCACCACACUGAACCAAGCCAUUUUUAGAUGGAAGAGGAAGAUAUUUUCUCUUGGAUUUCCCAUUCUAUCGCAUUAGACUAACCAGAUUGACAUGUUUUGACCGAAAUGACCAUGGCUCAACAGGAAAUAUCUGGAACCUACAAGUGGAUUUUGGAAUUUGGACCCUUUUCAAAUUAAAUUAUGGUCAGAGAUCCAACAGAUAUAAUUGAUAGUUUCAAAAGCUAGGAAUAUUAAACCAAGUUCAAAAUGCAUCGCCUUUAAUACUCGCAAAUUAUCAAGACUUAAAUUCAGUCUGCACAGUGGAUUGAAAGUGAAAGGUUUAUGAUCUCUCCAUAUACCAGACAAGUGGUUUCAAAGAAACGAGGGCAAAAUCAUGUGGAUUUAACAUGUGUAAUCCGUGAUAGAAGAAAAUAACCAUGAAGAUUUCUUCUUAUUAAACUAUGGAAUCAAUGUUAAUUUGGAGG